This 381-nucleotide ribosomal RNA is filed under the name uncultured Glomus. RNAcentral describes it as "SSU rRNA". It matches the Rfam family "Eukaryotic small subunit ribosomal RNA", at positions 569 to 956 of the family's 1831-position model. The record is from RNAcentral. Lineage: Eukaryota; Fungi; Glomeromycota; Glomeromycetes; Glomerales; Glomeraceae.
AGCAGCCGCAGUAAUUCCAGCUCCAAUAGCGUAUAUUAAAGUUGUUGCAGUUAAAAAGCUCGUAGUUGAAUUUCGGGAUCAAAUUGUCGGUCGUGCCUCGGUACGCACUGGCGUUAUUGGUUCCUCCCUUCUGAAGAACCGCGAUGUCAUUAAUUUGGUGUCGCGGGGAAUCAGGACUGUUACUUUGAAAAAUUAGAGUGUUUAAAGCAAGCUCGCGCUUGAAUACAUUAGCAUGGAAUAAUGAAAUAGGACGUUUGAUUCUAUUUUGUUGGUUUCUAGGAUCGACGUAAUGAUUAAUAGGGAUAGUUGGGGGCAUUAGUAUUCAAUUGUCAGAGGUGAAAUUCUUGGAUUUAUUGAAGACUAACUACUGCGAAAGCAUUU